AGUGAACGCUGGCGGCAGGCCUAACACAUGCAAGUCGAACGGCAGCACAGAGGAGCUUGCUCCUUGGGUGGCGAGUGGCGGACGGGGUGAGGAAUACGUCGGAAUCGUGCCUAUUUGUGGGGGAUAACGUAGGGAAACUUACGCUAAUACCGCAUACGACCUUAGGGUGAAAAGCGGAGGACCUUCGGGCUUCGCGCAGGAUAGAUGAGCCGACGUCGGAUUAGCUAGUGGCGGGUAAAGGCCCACCAAGGCGACGAUCCGUAGCUGGUCUGAGAGGAUGAUCAGCCACACUGG
RNAcentral lists this ribosomal RNA (294 nucleotides) under uncultured bacterium. Its description in RNAcentral is "partial 16S ribosomal RNA". It matches the Rfam family "Bacterial small subunit ribosomal RNA", at positions 29 to 316 of the family's 1533-position model. The record is from RNAcentral.